This 850-nucleotide ribosomal RNA is filed under the name Bacillus velezensis. RNAcentral's name for it is "bacterial SSU rRNA". It matches the Rfam family "Bacterial small subunit ribosomal RNA", at positions 397 to 1240 of the family's 1533-position model. The record is from RNAcentral. RNAcentral also lists the same sequence under 1 other name. Lineage: Bacteria; Bacillati; Bacillota; Bacilli; Caryophanales; Bacillaceae.
CCGCGUGAGUGAUGAAGGUUUUCGGAUCGUAAAGCUCUGUUGUUAGGGAAGAACAAGUGCCGUUCAAAUAGGGCGGCACCUUGACGGUACCUAACCAGAAAGCCACGGCUAACUACGUGCCAGCAGCCGCGGUAAUACGUAGGUGGCAAGCGUUGUCCGGAAUUAUUGGGCGUAAAGGGCUCGCAGGCGGUUUCUUAAGUCUGAUGUGAAAGCCCCCGGCUCAACCGGGGAGGGUCAUUGGAAACUGGGGAACUUGAGUGCAGAAGAGGAGAGUGGAAUUCCACGUGUAGCGGUGAAAUGCGUAGAGAUGUGGAGGAACACCAGUGGCGAAGGCGACUCUCUGGUCUGUAACUGACGCUGAGGAGCGAAAGCGUGGGGAGCGAACAGGAUUAGAUACCCUGGUAGUCCACGCCGUAAACGAUGAGUGCUAAGUGUUAGGGGGUUUCCGCCCCUUAGUGCUGCAGCUAACGCAUUAAGCACUCCGCCUGGGGAGUACGGUCGCAAGACUGAAACUCAAAGGAAUUGACGGGGGCCCGCACAAGCGGUGGAGCAUGUGGUUUAAUUCGAAGCAACGCGAAGAACCUUACCAGGUCUUGACAUCCUCUGACAAUCCUAGAGAUAGGACGUCCCCUUCGGGGGCAGAGUGACAGGUGGUGCAUGGUUGUCGUCAGCUCGUGUCGUGAGAUGUUGGGUUAAGUCCCGCAACGAGCGCAACCCUUGAUCUUAGUUGCCAGCAUUCAGUUGGGCACUCUAAGGUGACUGCCGGUGACAAACCGGAGGAAGGUGGGGAUGACGUCAAUCAUCAUGCCCCUUAUGACCUGGGCUACACACGUGCUACAAUGGACAGAAC